UGGGGAAUAUUGCACAAUGGGGGAAACCCUGAUGCAGCGACGCCGCGUGAACGAAGAAGGUAUUCGUAUCGUAUAGUUCUGUCCUAUGGGAAGAUAAUGACAGUACCAUAGAAGAAAGCUCCGGCUAAAUACGUGCCAGCAGCCGCGGUAAUACGUAUGGAGCGAGCGUUGUCCGGAAUUAUUGGGCGUAAAGGGUACGCAGGCGGUUUAAUAAGUCGAAUGUUAAAGAUCGGGGCUCAACCCCGUAAAGCAUUGGAAACUGAUAAACUUGAGUAGGGGAGAGGAAAGUGAAAUUCCUGGUGUAGUGGUGAAAUACGUAGAUAUUAGGAGGAAUACCAGUAGCGAAGGCGACUUUCUGGACACAAACUGACGCUGAGGUACGAAAGCGUGGGGAGCAAACAGG
RNAcentral lists this ribosomal RNA (403 nucleotides) under Actinomycetes bacterium. RNAcentral describes it as "Actinobacteria bacterium partial 16S ribosomal RNA". It matches the Rfam family "Bacterial small subunit ribosomal RNA", at positions 355 to 776 of the family's 1533-position model. Lineage: Bacteria; Bacillati; Actinomycetota; Actinomycetes. The record is from RNAcentral.